This 623-nucleotide ribosomal RNA is filed under the name Ciliophora sp. RNAcentral describes it as "SSU rRNA". It matches the Rfam family "Eukaryotic small subunit ribosomal RNA", at positions 341 to 980 of the family's 1831-position model. Lineage: Eukaryota; Ciliophora. The record is from RNAcentral.
CUACCAUGGCAGUCACGGGUAACGGGGAAUUAGGGUUCGAUUCCGGAGAGGGAGCCUGAGAAACGGCUACCACUUCUAAGGAAGGCAGCAGGCGCGUAAAUUACCCAAUCCUGACUCAGGGAGGUAGUGACAAGAAAUAACAACUCGGGGACUUCACGUCUUACGGGAUUGCAAUGAGAACAAUUUAAAACACUUAACGAGGAACAAUUGGAGGGCAAGUCUGGUGCCAGCAGCCGCGGUAAUUCCAGCUCCAAUAGCGUAUAUUAAAGUUGUUGCAGUUAAAAAGCUCGUAGUUGAAUUUAUGGCGAUUGCAUAAGCAGGCUUCGGUCGUUUAUGUGGUCGUCAUCCGCUUGGAAAUCCCGUACGGUCUUCAUUGGUCGGCGGGAGGAUCAGGCAUUUUACUUUGAAAAAAUAAGAGUGUUCAAGGCAGGCAAUCGCCAUGAAUACACAAGCAUGGAAUAAUGGAAUAGGACUGUGAUCCAUUUUAUUGGUUAUUGGAUUACAGUAAUGAUUAAUAGGGACAGUUGGGGGCAUUAGUAUUUAAUUGUCAGAGGUGAAAUUCUUGGAUUACUUAAAGACUAACUUAUGCGAAAGCAUUUGCCAAGGAUGUUUUCAUUAAUCAA